GUCUUUUUGAAAAUAAUUUAAAGUCAAAUCUGCCCACUGAAUUAAUUUUAAAGGGCUGCAGUAUAUUGACUGUACAAAGGUAGCAUAAUCAUUAGUCUUUUAAUUGAAGACUUGUAUGAAUGAUUUGAUGAGAUAUAAACUGUCUCUUUAUUAGGAAUAAAAUUUAAUUUUUUAGUUAAAAAGCUAAAAUUUGUAUAAAAGACGAGAAGACCCUAUAGAGUUUAAUAUUUUUAGGGAAUUAAAUUUUAUAUAAAUUUUUAAAUUUAAUUUUUUAGAAGUAUUUUGUUGGGGUGAUAGAAAAAUUUAAUAAACUUUUUUUAAAAAUUAUACAUUAAUUUAUGAAUUUUUGAUCCAUAAUUUAUGAUUAUAAGAAUAAAUUACCUUAGGGAUAACAGCGUAAUUUUUUUUUUUAGUUCAAAUAAAAAUUAAAGUUUGCGACCUCGAUGUUGGAUUAAGAUAAAAUUUAAAUGUAAAAGUUUAAAAUUUUGAUCUGUUCGAUCAUUAAAACUAC
This 511-nucleotide ribosomal RNA is filed under the name Colotis amata. RNAcentral's name for it is "partial 16S ribosomal RNA". The record is from RNAcentral. Lineage: Eukaryota; Metazoa; Arthropoda; Insecta; Lepidoptera; Pieridae.